UGAAAAAUAUUAGAGAGAGUGUUGGGGUAGCGUCUAUAAUGGAGAAGAUAGUGGAAAAUAGACUUAGGUGGUUUGGACAUGUAGAGGGAAGAUCGAUAAAUUAUGUAGUAAGGAGGGUAUACCAGAUGGAGAGAACGCAAACAAUUAGAGGAAAUGGAAGACAUAUAAAGACUAUCUGAGAAGUUAUUAGAAAAGAUCUCGAGAUUAAUCAUUUGGAUAGAAGCAUGGUCCUUGAUAGAACAUUAUGACGAAAAUUGAUCCAUGUAGCCGACCCCACUUAGUGGGGUAAGGCUUUGUUAUUG
This 302-nucleotide long non-coding RNA is filed under the name Lathyrus oleraceus (garden pea). RNAcentral's name for it is "Pisum sativum (pea) long non-coding RNA (PSAT_LNC030742)". The record is from RNAcentral. Lineage: Eukaryota; Viridiplantae; Streptophyta; Magnoliopsida; Fabales; Fabaceae.